AAGUCGUAACAAGGUCUCCGUUGGUGAACCAGCGGAGGGAUCAUUACAGAAGGUUACAAUACCUACAAACCACUGCGAACCGUUCCUUUUAGCUGCCUCGGCGGGCAAUCCCAGGGCGGGAUUCCAGGCCUCCUUCGGGAGGCGCUCGCCGGCGGUGCGCAACGUAUCUAGCUCUGUCUCUCAGCGGAUUUCUGAGUGAUUUUAAAAAACCUUUAAAAACUUUCAACAACGGAUCUCUUGGCUCUG
This 246-nucleotide unclassified non-coding RNA is filed under the name fungal sp. Its description in RNAcentral is "partial internal transcribed spacer region". The stretch from base 1 to 46 matches the Rfam family "Eukaryotic small subunit ribosomal RNA", at positions 1786 to 1831 of the family's 1831-position model. RNAcentral also lists the same sequence under 1 other name. The record is from RNAcentral. Lineage: Eukaryota; Fungi.